UCACAUCAUAGUAUAUUUAUACAAUGGAAUGCUACACCGCAAAAUAAAGAAAAAAAGGUUCACCCUUGGCCAUGCUGGCGCGGCACAGAUGCCCGACCAUUGAGCCACACAGGCUGGACUCCACUGGGAUGUGAAGUCAGAGGCUCUCCGCUCACUGAUGCACUAUUAUGAAUUGGCACGCGCCUCUCUGUCCCUG
This is a long non-coding RNA of Eptesicus fuscus (big brown bat), 196 nucleotides long. RefSeq lists it as uncharacterized. The transcript has 3 exons. NCBI's taxonomy places the organism in Eukaryota, Metazoa, Chordata, Mammalia, Chiroptera, Vespertilionidae. The record is from RefSeq and is a predicted model, not a curated record.